GGGGAAUAUUGGACAAUGGGCGCAAGCCUGAUCCAGCCAUGCCGCGUGUGUGAAGAAGGCCUUCGGGUUGUAAAGCACUUUUGUUGGGGAAGAAACCGGCCGGAUUAAUACUUCGGCUGAAUGACGGUACCCAAAGAAUAAGCACCGGCUAACUUCGUGCCAGCAGCCGCGGUAAUACGAAGGGUGCAAGCGUUACUCGGAAUUACUGGGCGUAAAGCGUGCGUAGGCGGUUUGUUAAGUCUGUCGUGAAAGCCCCGGGCUCAACCUGGGAAUGGCGAUGGAUACUGGCAAGCUAGAGUGUGUCAGAGGAUGGUGGAAUUCCCGGUGUAGCGGUGAAAUGCGUAGAGAUCGGGAGGAACACCAGUGGCGAAGGCGGCCAUCUGGGACAACACUGACGCUGAGGCACGAAAGCGUGGGGAGCAAAC
Molecule: ribosomal RNA, 425 nt
Filed under: uncultured bacterium
Lineage: Bacteria
Description: bacterial SSU rRNA
Rfam family: Bacterial small subunit ribosomal RNA
Source: RNAcentral